CCUGCAUCCAUGCCUUAUUUUUCAUUACUUCUCUUCGUGGUCCAGCUGCAGAAAUUGAUCAGUACGUGCAUGAGUAUUACUCAGUUGCCAAGUUUAAUGCCACAUAUGCUGAAAAUGUGCCUUCCAUGGAGAGAAAACAACAAUGGGAGGUCGUCAAUCCAGGUUUCGUUCUACACGCUCCACUUCAGGGAAGAGCACCAGGAAGGCCAAAGAAGACUAGAAUAAGGUCAAGUGCUGAGGGGAGGAGUGGACUUGGUCCAAGGAAGCGUAGAUGAAAGAGAUGUGGAGGUUCAGGACAUAUUGCAAGAACUUGCAAAAAUGCUGUUGAUGCAUCCUUUGGAGAAGAUGAUCAUUGGGGGGCAGAAAAUGCACAAGAGCCCCCAGCUGAACGUGAAGUGGAGCCCCCAGCUGAACGUGAAGCGGAGCCCCCAGCUGAAAGUGAAGCAGCGCCCCAAACUGUGCCCUCUAGUGUUACAUGUGUGGCUAGGGAGAAGAAAAAUAAGAAAGUAAGAGAGGUGGGAAGCACCUCCAUUGAUAUACAGGAGCAGUCUAGG
This is a long non-coding RNA of Panicum virgatum (switchgrass), 554 nucleotides long. RefSeq lists it as uncharacterized. The transcript has 2 exons. The record is from RefSeq and is a predicted model, not a curated record. Lineage: Eukaryota; Viridiplantae; Streptophyta; Magnoliopsida; Poales; Poaceae.